RNAcentral lists this microRNA precursor (72 nucleotides) under Marmota monax (woodchuck). The record is from RNAcentral. Lineage: Eukaryota; Metazoa; Chordata; Mammalia; Rodentia; Sciuridae.
UUUCUCUGCCUUUUACUUCAACUCUCCAAGGAGACUGAGUCUCCUUGGAGAGUUGAAGUAAAAGGCAGAGAA